RNAcentral lists this ribosomal RNA (447 nucleotides) under uncultured bacterium. Its description in RNAcentral is "bacterial SSU rRNA". It matches the Rfam family "Bacterial small subunit ribosomal RNA", at positions 355 to 825 of the family's 1533-position model. The record is from RNAcentral.
UGGGGAAUUUUGGGCAAUGGGCGAAAGCCUGACCCAGCAACGCCGCGUGAAGGAUGAAGUAUUUCGGUAUGUAAACUUCGAAAGAAUAGGAAGAAUAAAUGACGGUACUAUUUAUAAGGUCCGGCUAACUACGUGCCAGCAGCCGCGGUAAUACGUAGGGACCAAGCGUUGUUCGGAUUUACUGGGCGUAAAGGGCGCGUAGGCGGCAAUUCAAGUCAUCUGUGAAAUCUCCGGGCUUAACUCGGAACGGUCAGAUGAUACUGCUUUGCUAGAGUGCAGAAGGGGCAAUCGGAAUUCUUGGUGUAGCGGUGAAAUGCGUAGAUAUCAAGAGGAACACCUGAGGUGAAGACGGGUUGCUGGGCUGACACUGACGCUGAGGCACGAAAGUGUGGGGAUCAAACAGGAUUAGAUACCCUUGUAGUCCCUGAGCGGGCUGGCAAGGCGCAU